Molecule: long non-coding RNA, 4100 nt
Filed under: Lactuca sativa (garden lettuce)
Lineage: Eukaryota; Viridiplantae; Streptophyta; Magnoliopsida; Asterales; Asteraceae
Description: long non-coding RNA (LSAT_LNC008827)
Source: RNAcentral
CAAAUGCUUCCAUGAGAGUGUAGAACCUUAUAAUUCUUCAUGUGAUGCACCAAAACAAAUGUAAAUGGAUAAAACUUGAGUUUACGGCCCAAGAACAUUCUCUGACCAUAAACACACCUUCUUAGACCUUAAACUCAUCCAAAGGGUGUUAAAGUGCCCUUAACACCUUGAAUGGCUUGUAUGUUGGACCAGAAUCACAUGUGAUUAACCUAUAACCACUAAAACGCAUGAUUCAUGGACAAACAUGCAUUUAAGGUAGUAAACUCAUGUGUUUAGGGUAGUAAACUCCCCAAUAACAUCUUCAUAAACCGUAAACUCCUUUUCCUAAGUCAAUUUAAGUCCCAAUCACUUCCUAAGCCAUGGAAUCAACCCUAGAACCUUCCUUUGUGCAUUGUAAUUAACUUAGGACCAUCAAAACACAUUUGAACAUAGCACAUAAGAGUUUACGGCCGUAAAAUCAUAGUUUACUACCGUAAACUCCUCAAAUGGUCCUUAGAAUGCCCAAAUUCCCUUCCAAUGCCACAAAACCAAGACUAGCAUCACCCCUAAAGUGCUAUAAGACCAAUUAGCAACCAAGAACACCCACACCAUGAGUUUACGGCUGUAAACUCAUGGGGAGUUGGUCAUUUGGACUGUAAAUUCUCUUGAGAGUUUACUCUUGAAGAGUAAACUCCAUAUCCAAGCCAUAUACGUCCAUAGAUGUCACCCGGGUCACUCCGAACACUUGUUUUGAAGUGUUUUCGCGUCUGAGAGUGUAAAAUUGUAUCUGAUUAGUGAUUAUAGUCUAAUUAGAUACAUUUGUGUAUCAUUUAAUAUUACAUAGGAACCUCGCACGUUUUCAAGCCUCGAACCGACGUUUAGCAUCCAAACCGACACAAUCCUCGUCCGGUGAGUUCAUACCCCUACCCUUUUUUAGUGUUUUUCAAUGUUUUCAAGGGGAGAAUACAAGCAAAAGUAGAAUAAUAUCUUGUACUUAAAGUGUUUAUUUCAUUUAAACUGUUUGAUANAAACUCCAUAAAAUGGUACAAAUUGGUGCCAUAAACCCUCCUAAAGCCUAGUACUCAAGCCUAGAAUUGUUCCUAGUUAUUAUAGAGACUUGAAAGCAUCAUAAUAACCCUCCCAAGGGAGUUUACGGCUGUAAACUACAAGGGAUUAGGGUCUUUGGGCCGUAAACUCCCCAAAGGAGUCAAUGUUGUGCCCAAACACUUGCAUAGGCCUUGAAACAAUUCUCACUAAGGUUGUAGUAAUUCAAAGUACCAUUCCAAGCCUUGGUUGAGAGUUUACGGCCAGGAGCUUACUCCCCUGGGCCGUAAACUCCAAUGAAUAUGGUCUUUUGACCUUAAACUUCCAUUAGGGGCAUUGCACUCCUUUGUUGCAACCCAUUAGCCUCCUAGCACUUGACCAAAAGUGUUGUCCUCACGUUNGUUAUUACUUGUAUAAUUAGUGUUAUAAUCACUAAUUAUUUAUAUACAUAUGUUUUCAUAUGUAAUUAGGACUGUGUGUGUCUAAGUCUUCACUUAACACAAAGCACGUGUCCGAUCUUUCCGUACGAUAACAGCCCGUUCAAUUCCAGUCACUUACUGCAGGUGAGUUCAUACCCCUUAACUAAUGUUUUAAACUAUUUUAAAUGUUUUAUGGGGGGGGAUACAAGUAGAAUCAUGCUAGUAUUAUAUCAAUCACAUGCGAUUAAUAAGUAGAAUUACGCUAGUUAUUACAUCAAUCACAUGUGAUUAAUAUACAGCAUUCAAAAGAUUUGGCUACUCAUUAGCCGUUUUACCAAACAGUUUCCUUCAAAUGAUUUUUAUAAACAUUUUAUAUGUUUUAAACUCCUUAUUACACUGUGCCUCUUACUCUGUUUAUCAUAUUUCAAACUUAUUUACAACUGUGUUUCAAACAAAUGUUCCUUAUACUUAUAUUGUUUUAUCAAACUUAUGCCUUCAAAUUGUUUUAUAGAUUGACAUCAAGUCGAUCUUUCCUUAAAAUAAUAUUUAUGUUUCAAAUGUUUUACCAAACUUAUUUAUGCUUUUAUAUUAUAAAUUGCAUGCCUCUAUAUGUAUAGUUAUAUAAGAAAUGUUUAAAAGACUUAGGAAGGCUAUCCACCCUAUUUCCUUUUCGCGCCUUGAGAUGUGGUCUGGUGGGAUAUCGGAUACUCGUCCGAAGGUCGUUUAAAUAUUAGUUAUAUAUCAUGUGUACAUAUAAAGUCAUAAAAGGUCCUUCCAGUUCAUCCUAUGCCCUUGGGUAGCAAGGGUAUACAUCCAUGUCCAUACGUACCACUUAGAUUACUAGUAAGCUACCAUAUGGGUAGUUCAGGAAGAUACUAGAACCAUUACUAGAACGCGAUAUCAUACAAUGAGUCAGUUCAUUCAUGAGUCAAUACUUUCUAGAACAUUACUGUACAUUACAUAUACAACUAUACUAGGACGAGAACAUAUACAACUAUACUAGAACGUUUACAUUACUAUCCUUGCUAGAUAGAGAGAACACACAUUGCAGCUAGCACACAUAGAACAUUACAGUUCAUUACAUUACUAUACUUGCUAGAACAGUUCAUUACAUUACUAUACUUGCUAGAACAGUUCAUUACAUUACAGCUAGAACAGUACAUUACAUUACAUAUACGAGAAUACGUUAAUUACUGUGAUUUAAAUCGGAGCAUGACUUAAAACCUCAUGACUUGAGUUGCGGCCAGAGUCUCUUGAAGGGGGAGCGUUGAGUUUGCGUAUAGAUCUAUGCUGGAUUGACAAUCCUACACCUUGCUGCUAGCUACAGCCGGACCUGCAGGUCUGCGGGUGCCAAACGUCAUUCCGUUAUUACGACCAUUCGUAUGUCGUUGUUACAGUCGAUAGUAUGGUGCAAUUUAUCACAGAAUGCCUUAGCCUAAAAUCCGGUUUAAGGUAGUUAGUACGGUAGUAGUCCUUUUAGAGCUACGUUUUAGUACUACGUUAAUUUUUCCAUUACAUAUUUUUAGUGAUAACCUCACUUAAACAUAAAUGUACAAACUAUAUUUUUGGAUAAUGAUAGUUAUACUUUGGAAAAAUACAUACUCUUACAAGAGACACACACAGAGAACAGUUAGGUCUUGGUAGAAGACACCUUCAUAAACUAGAAGGAAUCAUAGGGAUUCUAGGGCUUUUCAAACACUUACAAAUUCUUACGAUAUAUAGACUUGCAAGUACUUACAAUUCAUAUACACUUACAAAUUCUUACAAUACAUAGACUUACAAAUUCUUACAAUACAUAGACUUACAAAUUCUUACAUACAAAUUAAGACACUAAAUACUUAUGAUCUCACCAGCUUCAAAGCUGAUACUCGCUUUCAAAAUUACUUGUAUCCUCAGGUCAUCAUAGACAGGUACCGAUGCAAGGAGAAAGGAAGAUGGAGCUUGUUCAAGACUUAUCUUUCAUUUUGAUUUAUGCUUUAGUGUUUAUCAAAAUUUGACAGAAUACAAUUGUAUAAUAAUUAUUUUAUUAAUGCAAUGAAUGAUGUUGUUGCUUGUUUACUACUUUACAUUGUUGUUGAUAUUAUACAUGACGUCCUCCGCCCCAGAACGUUUCCGCCGUUCUUGGUUUUGGGGUGUGACAAUAUUCAUGGACCAUAAACUUCUUUUAAAGUGUCAAAAUGCCCCUAAACACCUCCAAAUGCUUCCAUGAGAGUGUAGAACCUUAUAAUUCUUCAUGUGAUGCACCAAAACAUAUGUAAACGGAUCAAACUUGAGUUUACGGCCCAAGAACAUUCUUGGACCGUAAACACACCUUCUUAGACCUUAAACUCAUCCAAAGGGUGUUAAAGUGCCCUUAACACCUUGAAUGGCUUGUAUGUUGGACUAGAAUCACAUGUGAUUAACCUCUAACCACUAAAACACAUGAUUCAUGGACAAACAUGAGUUUAAUGUAGUAAACUCAUGUGUUUAAGGUACUAAACUCCCCAAGAACAUCUUCAUAAACCGUAAACUCCUUUUCCUAAGUCAAUUCAAGUCCCAAUCACUUCCUAAGCCAUGGAAUCAACCCUAGAACCUUCCUUUGUGCAUUGUAAUUAACUUAGGACCAUCAAAACACAUUUGAACAUAGCACAUAAGAGUUUACGGCCGUAAACUCCUCAA